RNAcentral lists this microRNA precursor (61 nucleotides) under Pristionchus pacificus. Its description in RNAcentral is "mir-8364 microRNA precursor family". It matches the Rfam family "mir-8364 microRNA precursor family". Lineage: Eukaryota; Metazoa; Nematoda; Chromadorea; Rhabditida; Neodiplogasteridae. The record is from Rfam by way of RNAcentral.
UCCUCAUUUCACGUGCUCUCUCGCCGGUCAGAGAGGCGAGAGAGUGUGUGAAAUGAAGAGA